UGAACAUACCACUUGUUGCCUCGGCGGAUCAGCCCGCUCCCGGUAAAACGGGACGGCCCGCCAGAGGACCCCUAAACUCUGUUUCUAUAUGUAACUUCUGAGUAAAACCAUAAAUAAAUCAAAACUUUCAACAACGGAUCUCUUGGUUCUGGCAUCGAUGAAGAACGCAGCAAAAUGCGAUAAGUAAUGUGAAUUGCAGAAUUCAGUGAAUCAUCGAAUCUUUGAACGCACAUUGCGCCCGCCAGUAUUCUGGCGGGCAUGCCUGUUCGAGCGUCAUUUCAACCCUCAAGCACAGCUUGGUGUUGGGACUCGCGUUAAUUCGCGUUCCUCAAAUUGAUUGGCGGUCACGUCGAGCUUCCAUAGCGUAGUAGUAAAACCCUCGUUACUGGUAAUCGUCGCGGCCACGCCGUUAAACCCCAACUUCUGAAUGUUGACCUCGGAUCAGGUAGGAAUACCCGCUGAACUUAAGCAUAUCA
Molecule: ribosomal RNA, 476 nt
Filed under: Fusarium oxysporum
Lineage: Eukaryota; Fungi; Ascomycota; Sordariomycetes; Hypocreales; Nectriaceae
Description: eukaryotic LSU rRNA
Rfam family: 5.8S ribosomal RNA (bases 123-276)
Source: RNAcentral